Molecule: long non-coding RNA, 660 nt
Organism: Lolium perenne
Lineage: Eukaryota; Viridiplantae; Streptophyta; Magnoliopsida; Poales; Poaceae
Source: RefSeq, a predicted model, not a curated record
AAGUUCAUCGUCGUCGCCCGGACAUCUCCGUCACCCCCUCACUGCGCUGCCGCUACCAAUCGAUGCGCGUCGUCGUCCUCUACAUCCCUCUGCAAGGAAUCGCCCGGGGGCGCCCUAAAUCGUCGCCUCCAUCCUCGUUUCUUCCCCAGCACCGGCGGCCUUUUUGCUCGACUCCGGCCGCCACCGUCCUCCUCCGCCCUCCUCGUCACGUCCUACACAUCCCUGCAACCCGCCGACGGUGAAGCUCCGGCCACCUCCCGUGGGCGGCGCCGCCUCCUCUUCGUCCGCGCCGACAAGGCGCACCCGACGCCCCUUCCUCGCGUCCUGGGACGCAUCCAGUUGCCGGCGCGCGCGACGCCUCGCCGCGGUGACCGCCCCUCGCCCGGAACGCGCGCGGCAUCACACCGCAUCGAACAGCUUCUAUGCGUUCCAGCACGUUUCGCCACGCUGGCAGCCACGUGGCCGCGGGCCCCGUCCGUCAGCGGCUCCAGCUAGUCCCUUUCCGCAUCUUCCUGCGCCGCGUCAGCACUCCCUGGCCCGCGCGUCAGUCGCUCGGGCUAGCCAGUGCCUGGCAUUUGCUUCUUCCCGGAUAGGAUCACGAAGUGGUGAUGUGAGAAACGGCGAAUUCUCCGACAAGUUUUUCUGCAGCUUUUCACAGGC